RNAcentral lists this ribosomal RNA (480 nucleotides) under uncultured bacterium. RNAcentral's name for it is "partial 16S ribosomal RNA". It matches the Rfam family "Bacterial small subunit ribosomal RNA", at positions 28 to 507 of the family's 1533-position model. The record is from RNAcentral.
GACGAACGCUGGCGGCGUGCUUAACACAUGCAAGUCGAACGAUGAAGAAAAGAAUUGAAGCUUCGGCAGAAAUUCAUUUCGGAUUAGUGGCAGACGGAUGAGUAACGCGUGAGCAACCUACCUCUUACAAAGGGAUAGCCUCGGGAAACCGGGAUUAAUACCAUAUAACAUUGCGACGAAGCAUUUCGAUGCAAUCAAAGCUACGGCGGUAAGAGAUGGGCUCGCGUCCCAUUAACCAGAUGGUGAGGUAACGGCUCACCAUAGUAACGAUGGGUAACCGGCCUGAGAGGGUGAACGGUCACACUGGAGCUGAGACACGGUCCAGACUCCUACGGGAGGCAGCAGUGGGGAAUAUUGCACAAUGGAGGGAACUCUGAUGCAGCGACGCCGCGUGAGUGAUGAAGGAAUUCGUUUCGUAAAACUCUGUUCUAUGGGAAGAAAAGGACUGUACCAUAGGAGAAAGCUCCGGCUAAAUACGUG